CGGCAGCCACUUCUCAGAGGACACGCCCAGGCUUCCUCUCUACCAGGCGUUGUUCACUAGUUUCAGGCGAUGCUGCACUGAGCGUCGGGUACCUGUGCUGUUGCCGGGGGUGAUGAUGAAGGGACAGGCCCAGGUCCUGGUCACUCUGCACACCCACGUGUGUGUGCAGCUCUGUGCCAGUAUGGCGGCGCUUCCCCCUGUGUACUUCCCCGUGCUGGUGAGGCACACACACACACACACACACACACACACACACAACCACAUCCAUUGUAUCAGAAGCAGCAUCAGAAGAAGUGAACACUGUUUUGCUAGUAAAGUUCAGGCAG
Molecule: long non-coding RNA, 326 nt
Organism: Pseudoliparis swirei
Lineage: Eukaryota; Metazoa; Chordata; Actinopteri; Perciformes; Liparidae
Exons: 2
Source: RefSeq, a predicted model, not a curated record